Molecule: transfer RNA, 73 nt
Filed under: Melopsittacus undulatus (budgerigar)
Lineage: Eukaryota; Metazoa; Chordata; Aves; Psittaciformes; Psittaculidae
Also listed under: 1 other name
Description: tRNA-Lys (CTT) (tRNA-Lys-CTT-6-1)
Rfam family: tRNA
About the family: Transfer RNA (tRNA) molecules are approximately 80 nucleotides in length. Their secondary structure includes four short double-helical elements and three loops (D, anti-codon, and T loops).
Source: Rfam by way of RNAcentral
GCCUGGCUAGCUCAGUCGGUAGAGCAUGAGACUCUUAAUCUCAGGGUCGUGGGUUUGUGCCCCACAUUGGGCG